GGGGAGCGAACAGGAUUAGAUACCAUGGUAGUACACGACGCAAACGAUGAGUGCUAAGUGUUAGGGGAUUUCCGCCCCUUAGUGCUGCAGCUAACGCAUUAAGCACUCCGCCUGGGGAGUACGGUAGCAAGACUGAAACUCAAAGGAAUUGACGGGGGCCCGCACAAGCGGUGGAGCAUGUGGUUUAAUUAGAAGCAACGCGAAGAACCUUACCAGGUCUUGACAUCCUCUGACAACCCUAGAGAUAGGGCUUUCCCUUCGGGGACAGAGUGACAGGUGGUGCAUGGUUGUCGUCAGCUCGUGUCGUGAGAUGUUGGGUUAAGUCCCGCAACGAGCGCAACCCUUGAUCUUAGUUGCCAGCAUUCAGUUGGGCACUCUAAGGUGACUGCCGGUGACAAACCGGAGGAAGGUGGGGAUGACGUCAAAUCAUCAUGCCCCUUAUGACCUGGGCUACACACGUGCUACAAUGGACAGAACAAAGGGCUGCAAGACCGCAAGGUUUAGCCAAUCCCAUAAAUCUGUUCUCAGUUCGGAUCGCAGUCUGCAACUCGACUGCGUGAAGCUGGAAUCGCUAGUAAUCGCGGAUCAGCAUGCCGCGGUGAAUACGUUCCCGGGCCUUGUACACACCGCCCGUCACACCACGAGAGUUUGCAACACCCGAAGUCGGUGAGGUAACCUUUAUGGAGCCAGCCGCCGAAAGGAA
RNAcentral lists this ribosomal RNA (703 nucleotides) under Bacillus pumilus. RNAcentral's name for it is "bacterial SSU rRNA". It matches the Rfam family "Bacterial small subunit ribosomal RNA", at positions 763 to 1464 of the family's 1533-position model. Lineage: Bacteria; Bacillati; Bacillota; Bacilli; Caryophanales; Bacillaceae. The record is from RNAcentral.